This 2203-nucleotide long non-coding RNA is filed under the name Portunus trituberculatus (swimming crab). RNAcentral's name for it is "uncharacterized LOC123518531". The record is from RNAcentral. Lineage: Eukaryota; Metazoa; Arthropoda; Malacostraca; Decapoda; Portunidae.
GGAAAAAAAGCAAGAGAAUAGAAAGAAAAAUAAGAAAGAACUCAAUAAUAAAGAAAGGAAGGAAGAAAGAAAGAAAGAUAAAAAGAAAAAGAAAGAAAACACGUAUUGACACUUACUUAUUUACUUAAAACACUUAUUUAUGGACUUACUCACUUAUUUAUUCACUUAUUUAAGUAUUUAUUCACUUAUCUAUGUAUUUAUUUACUUAUUUAUUUACUUAUCAACACAAGUAGAGACAAGGAGAAGUGUAUCAGUACUUAACACUUUCCUCACCUCACUUAUAAGGAAUCAAACACCUUACUUAUCUGCUUAGCGCCUUAAGACUGACCUACUUAAAUGUACUUAUUAGCUUACCUGUGUACUAAUGGAGCAGUCAGCCAUUGUAACAGAAAACGAGGCAUUAUGAGACCAGUAACAUCAAUAAUAAUAAUAAUAAUAAUAAUAAUAAUAAUAAUAAUAAUAAUAAUGACAAUGGCUCUGCUUUUAAUACGUGUUGUGAAAAUAUUUUAUUAGCACUGACAGAAAAUUUACAAGAGGCAUUCAUUUACUUUAGAGUUAGUGAUAGAAGUGAGCAUAUUAAAUUACAGUAAGGCAAAAAAAAAGGCGAAUAGAAACACUCCGCUCUCUCACCAACACUGUUUUGCAAGGCCACAGAGAUGACUAAGAGGUGUUCCCAAGACGGUUUCUCGUGUUAACAGUGAAGAAAUGUUAAUCUGUCACUAGAACCACAAAAACACUCUUAAAAACCCGUGUCACUUAUCAUAACUGAUUUAAAAGGCCACAGAGAUGACUAAGAGAUGUUAUUAAGAGUUUUUCAUGUUAAUAAUACUACAAUAUUGUUAAUCUUAUCUUGGAAUCGUUAAAACACUAAAAAAAAACCCGUGUCACUUCACCAUAACUAUUUUCUAAGGCCACAGAGAUGACUAAGAAGUGUUAUUAAGUGUGUUUUCCGUGUUAAUAAUGCUAAAAUAUUGUUAAUCUUGUCUUAGAAUCGUUAAAACACUUAAAACCCGUGUCACUUCACCAUAACUGAUUUAAAAGGCCACAGAGAUGACUAAGAGGUGUUAUUAUGAGUUUCUCGUGUUAAUAAUGCUAAAAUAUUGUUAACGUGUCCUUGGAAUCGUUAAAACACAAAAACCCGCGUCACGUCACUCGAGCCACUGAACAGUAUGUAGCGAGUCGGCGGAGCUUCACUGCUUCAGAACCACUGCUCACAAAACAUGCACUUAUUUAACUUUACACUUAAGUUAUAAGUAUCAGCACCUUUUAGAAGUUACAAAUUAUACUAUUGUAAGUGUUUAUUGACUUGUUUGUUACUUACGGAAGAGGAAGAGGAAGGAUGAGGAAGCAAUAAUGAGUCAACAAGGAUGGAUGGAAAUUACUUACUUAUUUGUCAUAUAUUCCGUCAGUCCAUCGCUUCUCACUCCAUUUUUCCCGCCAAAUCUUCCUCCCUGGUGGUGAAUCUCCUUGGGUGUUGCAAGAAUUACACUGCAGGAGGUGAAUUCACGCAGAUGUCGGCGGAUAAAAUGUAAUAGACUCUUUCUCUUACAAUACACGCCUUUUGACACUGGCACGCGGGGGGUACGAGACUAUAAACAUUUACGCUUCAUUUAUUUAUCUAUUUAUUUAUCACAGUGGCAUUUUGAUCUUUAGAAACACGUGUAGAAAUUUUUACUGGUUAUUUUCUUGAUGAUGUGAUUUAGUGAGUGUUAAGCCCCAGAGGAAUACAUUUAUUUAUUUAUUUAUUUUUAUGGUCGUGUUUUAUGUUGAGGGAAAUGUUGGUACGUCAUGCCAAGGAAAGGAAGGAAAAGACACAGAGAUUGGAAAAAAAUUGCUCAUUAUCACUCCUACCUAAACAAACUGCCUAACAUUUUAUUUAUUCAAUUUUUACGUACAUUUAUUUUGUUUUCUUAUACGAGCCUACCAUUUUUUCUGUCAAAAUUAUGAAUGGUUUAAAAAUCACUUAAGGACGCCCUUAGAAAAAAUAGAUAAAUAAAAUAACAGCUAUCCAUCUUUAUUGGCCAAAAAAUUAACGAUAAAAAAUAAUGAUAAAUAAAUAAAUAAAACGUUUAGGCAGUUUGUUGAUAGUGAUGUUCUUCAUGUAAAUACAAUAAGAAAUAUCUAAUAAUUGCGUGCCUUACUGCCAGGACUAACCUAACCAGUCAUUUGUAGCGAGUUUAUAAUAAAAGAAGUGAUAUUUUAA